UAUUACUGGAUUGUAUGGCAUUUUUUUUACCAAGAAUUAUUAUUUAUAUCUUUUUAUUUAUUUAAAUACUGGAGAUUAACCCCAGGGCACUUUACCCAGUGUGCUAUAUACCCAGUCUCCAACACUUUUAUUUAUUUAUGUAUUUUUGAGAGAGGGUUUUACUGAGUUUCUUAAGACCUUGCCAAGUUCUUGAGGCUGGUCUUUAACUUGAGAAUAAACCUCUAGUUUUCUACCUCUUAUCCUCCUAAGCCACUGGGAGUACAGGCAUGUACGACCUUGCACUGCUACCCCAAAUUAUUACUAGUGGAUUAUGUGGCAUUUUUAUUUUGGCCUUUUAAAGAACCUUAACACUUUUAUAAAAAUAUAUUUAUUAAAUUUAUAUUGUCACCAACAUUUUUACAUAUUUGUGUACCCUGGAAUCCCUAUUAAUUAUGAGAUAUUUGCUUGGUUUUGUAUGGUUUGGUGCUGAGUAUUGAACCCAGGGGUGCAUACCACUGAGAUACAUCUGCAUUAUUUUUUAUGUUAUAUUUUGAGACAGGCUCUCAUUAAGUUGAUUGUAGCCUUGUUAUGUUAAUGAGGCUGUCUUUGAACUAAUAAUUCUCCUGUGUCAUUUUUCAUAGCUUCUAGAAUUUCAGGCAUAUGCCACCAUACAUAACAAUUUUAGAUUUUUAUAAUAGCCAUUCCAGCAUUACUGCAUAGGCUGCAGAAAAUUAGUAGUAAUUAAUAUUAAUAAUUUAAUUCUCAUACUUGUUAAAGUAUGAAACCUAUACUUUGAAAGCUAUGGCUAUAGCAAGUGAAAAAUAC
Molecule: long non-coding RNA, 804 nt
Filed under: Marmota monax (woodchuck)
Lineage: Eukaryota; Metazoa; Chordata; Mammalia; Rodentia; Sciuridae
Source: RNAcentral